GACGAACGCUGGCGGCGUGCCUAAUACAUGCAAGUCGAACGCAGUGGGGACGGGUGAGUAACACGUGGGUAACCUCCAAUCAGAGGGGAUAACACUUGGAAACAGGUGCUAAACCGUUACUUAUGGAUGUACCUGCGGUGCAUUAGCUCGUUGGUGAGGUAACGGCUCACCACGGCCACGAUGCAUAGGCGACCUGAGAGGGUGAUCGGCAACACUGGGGCUGGGACACGGACCAGACUCCUACGUGAGGCACCAGUAGGGAAUCUUCGGCAAUGGACGAAAGUCUGACCGACCAACGCCGCGUGAGUGAAGCAGGUUUUCGGAUCGUAAAACUUGUUUGUUAGAGAAGCGGGAUCUAACCAGAAAGCCACGGCUAACUACGUGCCAGCAGCCGCGGUAAUAC
This 403-nucleotide ribosomal RNA is filed under the name uncultured bacterium. RNAcentral describes it as "partial 16S ribosomal RNA". It matches the Rfam family "Bacterial small subunit ribosomal RNA", at positions 28 to 526 of the family's 1533-position model. The record is from RNAcentral.